UAAGUCCGCAAUGUUGCCAGUGUCUGUCUGCAGAUUGGCUACCCAACUGUUGCAUCAGUACCCCAUUCUAUCAUCAACGGGUACAAACGAGUCCUGGCCUUGUCUGUGGAGACGGAUUACACCUUCCCACUCGCUGAAAAGGUCAAGGCCUUCUUGGCUGAUCCAUCUGCCUUUGUGGCUGCUGCCCCUGUGGCUGCUGCCACCACAGCUGCUCCUGCUGCUGCUGCAGCCCCAGCUAAGGUUGAAGCCAAGGAAGAGUCGGAGGAGUCGGACGAGGAUAUGGGAUUUGGUCUCUUUGACUAAUCACCAAAAAGCAACCAACUUAGCUUACUUCUUUAAAAAAAAAAAAAAAA
RNAcentral lists this long non-coding RNA (353 nucleotides) under Homo sapiens (human). RNAcentral describes it as "HSALNT0330757". Lineage: Eukaryota; Metazoa; Chordata; Mammalia; Primates; Hominidae. The record is from RNAcentral.